GCAAGCAAAAAGCUUGCUAUCACAGGCACCGAGGCAGGCAGCAAGCAAAUCCAAACACUGUGCUUCUUGCCCAGCCAGGUGAGGCAAGCCCCGGCAAGGGAUCCAAGCUGACCCUUAGUGUAGAUGAAGUGUAACAUUCAAAACUAUAAGAUGUCAAACUGCUAAAAGAUUGGACAAUUACUUUGCAGGACUCCAAGUUAAAGUAUAUCAAAAGCAUUUUCACCACAUUGAAUACUCUAUAACCUUGAAGUCACCAACUGAAAGGACAGAAGAAGAAAAAAAACGAAACAAUAAAGGAACAAAAAAGAAAAAAAAGGCCAAUCAAAACUAGGAAAAAAGAGGGAUAUGUGGAAAACUUGGCAAGCCCAAAAUGCUAUGAAAAAAAUAAGUAAGAAAAAAAAAGACAAGAAGGUCCAAAUUGCUGCUAAAGACAACCAGAAAUUUUGGCCUAACUCAAAAUAACUCGAAUAUGGG
RNAcentral lists this long non-coding RNA (474 nucleotides) under Setaria viridis. RNAcentral's name for it is "long non-coding RNA (SVIR_LNC010031)". The record is from RNAcentral. Lineage: Eukaryota; Viridiplantae; Streptophyta; Magnoliopsida; Poales; Poaceae.